RNAcentral lists this ribosomal RNA (506 nucleotides) under uncultured Scutellospora. Its description in RNAcentral is "SSU rRNA". It matches the Rfam family "Eukaryotic small subunit ribosomal RNA", at positions 569 to 1078 of the family's 1831-position model. The record is from RNAcentral. Lineage: Eukaryota; Fungi; Glomeromycota; Glomeromycetes; Diversisporales; Gigasporaceae.
AGCAGCCGCGGUAAUUCCAGCUCCAAUAGCGUAUAUUAAAGUUGUUGCAGUUAAAAAGCUCGUAGUUGAAUUUCGGGGUUCUUCCGUUGGUCAGGCUAACAAGUCUGUACUAGCGUGUAGAAUCUCUACCUUCUGGGGAACCAUCAUGUUAUUAAUUUAGCGUGGUGGGAAACCAGGACCUUUACCUUGAAAAAAUUAGAGUGUUCAAAGCAGGCUUACGUCUGAAUACAUUAGCAUGGAAUAAUAAAAUAGGACGGUGGUCCUGUUUUGUUGGUUUCUGAAUCACCGUAAUGAUUAAUAGGGAUAGUUGGGGGCAUUAGUAUUCAAUUGUCAGAGGUGAAAUUCUUGGAUUUAUUGAAGACUAACUUCUGCGAAAGCAUUUGCCAAGGAUGUCUUCAUUAAUCAAGAACGAAAGUUAGGGGAUCGAAGACGAUCAGAUACCGUCGUAGUCUUAACCAUAAACUAUGCCGACUAGGGAUCGGACGAUGUUAAAUUUUAUUGACUCG